CCGGCGAUUUCCGAAUGGGGAAACCCAGUGUGUUUCGACACACUAUCAUUAACUGAAUCCAUAGGUUAAUGAGGCGAACCGGGGGAACUGAAACAUCUAAGUACCCCGAGGAAAAGAAAUCAACCGAGAUUCCCCCAGUAGCGGCGAGCGAACGGGGAGGAGCCCAGAGCCUGAAUCAGUGUGUGUGUUAGUGGAAGCGUCUGGAAAGGCGCGCGAUACAGGGUGACAGCCCCGUACACAAAAAUGCACAUACUGUGAGCUCGAUGAGUAGGGCGGGACACGUGGUAUCCUGUCUGAAUAUGGGGGGACCAUCCUCCAAGGCUAAAUACUCCUGACUGACCGAUAGUGAACCAGUACCGUGAGGGAAAGGCGAAAAGAACCCCGGCGAGGGGAGUGAAAAAGAACCUGAAACCGUGUACGUACAAGCAGUGGGAGCCUCUUUUAUGGGGUGACUGCGUACCUUUUGUAUAAUGGGUCAGCGACUUAUAUUCUGUAGCAAGGUUAACCGAAUAGGGGAGCCGAAGGGAAACCGAGUCUUAACUGGGCGUUAAGUUGCAGGGUAUAGACCCGAAACCCGGUGAUCUAGCCAUGGGCAGGUUGAAGGUUGGGUAACACUAACUGGAGGACCGAACCGACUAAUGUUGAAAAAUUAGCGGAUGACUUGUGGCUGGGGGUGAAAGGCCAAUCAAACCGGGAGAUAGCUGGUUCUCCCCGAAAGCUAUUUAGGUAGCGCCUCGUGAAUUCAUCUCCGGGGGUAGAGCACUGUUUCGGCAAGGGGGUCAUCCCGACUUACCAACCCGAUGCAAACUGCGAAUACCGGAGAAUGUUAUCACGGGAGACACACGGCGGGUGCUAACGUCCGUCGUGAAGAGGGAAACAACCCAGACCGCCAGCUAAGGUCCCAAAGUCAUGGUUAAGUGGGAAACGAUGUGGGAAGGCCCAGACAGCCAGGAUGUUGGCUUAGAAGCAGCCAUCAUUUAAAGAAAGCGUAAUAGCUCACUGGUCGAGUCGGCCUGCGCGGAAGAUGUAACGGGGCUAAACCAUGCACCGAAGCUGCGGCAGCGACGCUUAUGCGUUGUUGGGUAGGGGAGCGUUCUGUAAGCCUGUGAAGGUGUACUGUGAGGUAUGCUGGAGGUAUCAGAAGUGCGAAUGCUGACAUAAGUAACGAUAAAGCGGGUGAAAAGCCCGCUCGCCGGAAGACCAAGGGUUCCUGUCCAACGUUAAUCGGGGCAGGGUGAGUCGACCCCUAAGGCGAGGCCGAAAGGCGUAGUCGAUGGGAAACAGGUUAAUAUUCCUGUACUUGGUGUUACUGCGAAGGGGGGACGGAGAAGGCUAUGUUGGCCGGGCGACGGUUGUCCCGGUUUAAGCGUGUAGGCUGGUUUUCCAGGCAAAUCCGGAAAAUCAAGGCUGAGGCGUGAUGACGAGGCACUACGGUGCUGAAGCAACAAAUGCCCUGCUUCCAGGAAAAGCCUCUAAGCAUCAGGUAACAUCAAAUCGUACCCCAAACCGACACAGGUGGUCAGGUAGAGAAUACCAAGGCGCUUGAGAGAACUCGGGUGAAGGAACUAGGCAAAAUGGUGCCGUAACUUCGGGAGAAGGCACGCUGAUAUGUAGGUGAAGCGACUUGCUCGUGGAGCUGAAAUCAGUCGAAGAUACCAGCUGGCUGCAACUGUUUAUUAAAAACACAGCACUGUGCAAACACGAAAGUGGACGUAUACGGUGUGACGCCUGCC
Molecule: ribosomal RNA, 1733 nt
Filed under: Escherichia coli
Lineage: Bacteria; Pseudomonadati; Pseudomonadota; Gammaproteobacteria; Enterobacterales; Enterobacteriaceae
Description: partial 23S ribosomal RNA
Rfam family: Bacterial large subunit ribosomal RNA
Source: RNAcentral